This 358-nucleotide long non-coding RNA is filed under the name Carica papaya (papaya). RNAcentral's name for it is "long non-coding RNA (CPAP_LNC006999)". The record is from RNAcentral. Lineage: Eukaryota; Viridiplantae; Streptophyta; Magnoliopsida; Brassicales; Caricaceae.
UGACACUCCCCCUAGAAUUAGAAUGGAGAAUAGAGGUUUUUAUUAUGCAAUGGCACUCCUGAAUACUUUCCUUCACGCAGGACAUUCUCCAUGGAUUUUGAAUGAAUAAAGAAGUUUUCUAUCAUGCAAGGGCACUUCCAAAGACUUCUUUCAAACAUGACAUUCCCCUUAGAAUUGACUGAAAAAGGAAGGCUUUUCUUAUGCAAAGGCAUUCUUGAAGACUUCACUUAACGUACAAUAUUCCUUAUGGAUUUGGAAUGAAAAAGGGAGGCUUCUAUCGUUCAAAGGCACUUCCAAAAACUUUCCUUCACAUGUGACAUUCCUCUUGGAAUUAGAAUGAAAAAGGGAGGCUUCUGUU